GCUUUGUUAAACAAGUGCUUGAAGGCAGUAUGCUUGGUAAAAGUCAUCGCCAUUCUCUAAUCUUGAGUACCCAGGGACACGAUACACUGCGGAAGGCUGCAGGGACCUCUGCCCAGGAAAGCCAGGAUCCAGUAUCUGCCGGAGGAGCCCCACCUUCUGCUACUAUUAUGUUCUUCAGAUGAGUAGAAGAGAGUGGGGAGGGAGAGAGCAGGAAGAAGAAAGGAAGAAUAAUGUCUUGAAAUUGAUGAUGCAUAUCAUAAAUUAUUACUCACCCCAUGUUCCCACCCUCGAGAGACCUCCAAACAAUCACCAUGCCACAGUGAACAUUCAGUAACAAAAAUUCAGCCAGGGUUUUCACCAGCAUGAAUGGCAGUGAUUCCAAUCAGGAAAACAGAAAGAGGAGAGUUCAGAGCCACCUAGAAUGGCUCUUGCAAGAUACGAAAUCAAGGCAGCAGCAACAGGGCUGAACAUUCCUCAUCCCUAACUCUCCCUUCACCAGUAGGAAACCCAGGAUAACUGCAAUCACCGCAGGCCCAUCUGGCCUGAAGUUCUACUACUAGUAGCCCUCCAUGGGACCUUCUUAAGGAAGCAUGUCAACUCAGGUAAGGGAUGUAAGGGGAUGGAUGACCCUUUGAGGCCAAAGUUGGAGCAAAAAACACCAGAUGUUCCUGUGCACUGCUCCUAAGAGAUGGUUCUGAAGACCAGUUCGGGGAGAGGUCAAAAUACUGGACAGAAUCUCAGCAACAUGGAACCUCAAACUAAGUGACAGUCACAGACAACUCUUCCCCAAAGAAAAUAAGCACAGACAUGGUUUGUGGUAAGCAGAAUUAUAAAGAUGAAUUCCCAUCUCCCUGUCAGAUUACCAGUAUGGUAAAUUACCAGAUUACCUGGUUAUUUAUUCAAACACUAAUACAGUUAUUGCCUUGAUGGAAACAUACAGAUACAAUUAAAAUCCCAAGUACCAAAUAAAUUGACCUUAAGACAAAGACUAAGUAAAUCACAUGAGCCCUCUACAAGCAGAGAGUUUUUCUCCAGCUGGUAGCAGAAGCCAGAGAUUUGAAGCAUAGGAAGUAUUCAACACAUUAUUGCUGGCCUGAAAAUGGAAGGGGCCACAUAACGAGGGAAACCGGUGGCCUCUAGAAGCAGGGAGCAGUCCCCUGCUGACAGACAGCAAGCCAAGACCUCAGUUCUACAAUUGCAAGACACUCAAUUCUGCUAAGGACAAAAAUGAGCUUGGAAGUGAACUCUGAGCUUCAGGUGAGAACACGGCCAAACAACACCUUGAUUUCAGCUUAAACAAAGAAUGCAGCCACUCCAUGCCAGAAUUCUGACCUGUAGAAAUUUGAGCUAAUAAAUAGAUGUUUUAAUAGCUUCAUCGA
Molecule: long non-coding RNA, 1379 nt
Filed under: Homo sapiens (human)
Lineage: Eukaryota; Metazoa; Chordata; Mammalia; Primates; Hominidae
Description: HSALNT0378550
Source: RNAcentral